This 449-nucleotide ribosomal RNA is filed under the name uncultured bacterium. Its description in RNAcentral is "partial 16S ribosomal RNA". It matches the Rfam family "Bacterial small subunit ribosomal RNA", at positions 29 to 523 of the family's 1533-position model. The record is from RNAcentral.
AACGAACGCUGGCGGCAUGCCUAACACAUGCAAGUCGAACGAUGCUUUCGGGCAUAGUGGCGCACGGGUGCGUAACGCGUGGGAAUCUGCCCUUCGGUUGGGAAUAACUGAGAGAAAUUUCAGCUAAUACCUUAUAAUGUCUUCGGACCAAAGAUUUAUCGCCGAGGGAUGAGCCCGCGUAGGAUUAGGUAGUUGGUGGGGUAAUGGCCUACCAAGCCGACGAUCCUUAGCUGGUCUGAGAGGAUGAUCAGCCACACUGGGACUGAGACACGGCCCAGACUCCUACGGGAGGCAGCAGUGGGGAAUAUUGGACAAUGGGCGCAAGCCUGAUCCAGCAAUGCCGCGUAAGUGAUGAAGGCCUUAGGGUUGUAAAGCUCUUUUACCAGGGAUGAUAAUGACAGUACCUGGAGAAUAAGCUCCGGCUAACUCCGUGCCAGCCGCCGCAGUAA